UGGGGAAUAUUGCACAAUGGGCGGAAGCCUGAUGCAGCGACGCCGCGUGGGGGAUGAAGGCCUUCGGGUUGUAAAUUCCUUUCGAUAGGGACGAAGCUUUUGUGACGGUACCUGUAUAAGAAGCACCGGCUAACUACGUGCCAGCAGCCGCGGUAAUACGUAGGGUGCGAGCGUUGUCCGGAAUUACUGGGCGUAAAGAGCUCGUAGGUGGUUUGUCGCGUCGUCUGUGAAAUUCCGGGGCUUAACUCCGGGCGUGCAGGCGAUACGGGCUGACUUGAGUGCUGUAGGGGGGACUGGAAUUCCUGGUGUAGCGGUGAAAUGCGCAGAUAUCAGGAGGAACACCGAUGACGAAGGCAGGUCUCUGGGCAGUAACUGACGCUGAGGAGCGAAAGCAUGGGUAGCGAACAGG
RNAcentral lists this ribosomal RNA (409 nucleotides) under Actinomycetes bacterium. RNAcentral's name for it is "Actinobacteria bacterium partial 16S ribosomal RNA". It matches the Rfam family "Bacterial small subunit ribosomal RNA", at positions 355 to 776 of the family's 1533-position model. Lineage: Bacteria; Bacillati; Actinomycetota; Actinomycetes. The record is from RNAcentral.